This 253-nucleotide ribosomal RNA is filed under the name uncultured bacterium. RNAcentral describes it as "partial 16S ribosomal RNA". It matches the Rfam family "Bacterial small subunit ribosomal RNA", at positions 524 to 776 of the family's 1533-position model. The record is from RNAcentral.
UACGUAGGGAGCAAGCGUUGUCCGGAAUUAUUGGGCGUAAAGAGCUCGUAGGCGGUUUGUCGCGUCUGCCGUGAAAGUCCGGGGCUCAACUCCGGAUCUGCGGUGGGUACGGGCAGACUAGAGUGAUGUAGGGGAGACUGGAAUUCCUGGUGUAGCGGUGAAAUGCGCAGAUAUCAGGAGGAACACCGAUGGCGAAGGCAGGUCUCUGGGCAUUAACUGACGCUGAGGAGCGAAAGCAUGGGGAGCGAACAGG